This 365-nucleotide ribosomal RNA is filed under the name Oreolalax lichuanensis (Lichuan lazy toad). Its description in RNAcentral is "partial 12S ribosomal RNA". It matches the Rfam family "Bacterial small subunit ribosomal RNA", at positions 966 to 1524 of the family's 1533-position model. The record is from RNAcentral. Lineage: Eukaryota; Metazoa; Chordata; Amphibia; Anura; Megophryidae.
CACCUCACCGUUUCUUGCCAAAACCGCCUAUAUACCGCCGUCUCCAACUUACCCUAUGAGGGAUUCACAGUAAGUUCAAAGAUCUUCCAUCAGAACGUCAGGUCAAGGUGUAGCGAAUGAAACGGGAAGAAAUGGGCUACAUUUUCUAUUUUAGACCACACGGACAAUCAGUAUGAAACCUGAUUAUGAAGGAGGAUUUAGCAGUAAAAAGAAAUCAGCAAGUUCUUUUUAAGUCGGACCUAGGGCGCGUACACACCGCCCGUCACCCUCUUCAACUCAUUUCACCCUAUUUCAUAAUAAAAUAACUGGAGAUAAGAAGAGGCAAGUCGUAACAUGGUAAGUAUACCGGAAGGUGUACUUGGAAC